CUCUCUACGUCCUGAUCGAAACAAAACACAAAACUCUAGAAAACAAUUCUCUCUCUCACUCUCUCCCCGUCCUGAUCGACCCAAACCACAAAACCCUAGAAAACAAAUAGAUUUCUUUGUGGUCAGCUCGGAGGUGGACUGGAAGGAGCUGUGUGGCCAUGCUUCUAGUCGUGGCCGGAGGAUGUGCAGCCUAGCGUUGACUCGUCGGAGGAAGGCAAAGAAGAUGGUGGCUCCAUUGAGUCUACCCUGAUGGUCGGAGAUCGGUGACAGAAGAAACAGAGUCCUCCAGAUCCACUUUCUCUCUCCUCCUUCUCUUUCUCGUCUGUGCUUUAGGGUGGUCCAGUACUGUGGUCCUCUUCGGAUUCGUAUAGAGUCGAACGUUUCUCUACCUACUAUACACCGAGAUCGACUCAUUUAGUGAAAUCAGAUCUCAAAAUCAAUUGUUUCAGACUAUCAUGUAGAGUGUCGAAACUCGAGGCUUUGACGCUAUACUGUGGUAUUUGUCAUCGAAAGAAAUUCCGAAGAAAGGAAAACAAUAGAAGCUCUUGCUUUGUUGGGAUCGGGGGAAGAGAAGAAGAGGUUUUUCAUCAGAGGAUUUGCGAAAGCUUGUUUGUACCUGCAUAUGGCUUCUGGUCUUCUAGUACCAGAAGCCAAGCUUUUUUGCAUUUGGAGGAUUUGCUUUAUGUGGUUAAAGCCAAACCCCAUGAUCGCAGGAUGAUGUGUGACUCACCGAUUGUGCAAACUAAGUUGAGCCAAAGUGAUUCUCUCUGUAAAUAUUCUCAUUCUAGCAUCUCAUGUGAUUCUGAAUUUCAGUCAGAGGUUGUGAAAGAUGACACGUUGUCAAAGGUACAAAGAUUGG
Long non-coding RNA from Rosa chinensis, 859 nucleotides. RefSeq lists it as uncharacterized. The transcript is spliced from 5 exons. The record is from RefSeq and is a predicted model, not a curated record. Lineage: Eukaryota; Viridiplantae; Streptophyta; Magnoliopsida; Rosales; Rosaceae.